GGAGAGGUAACUUUUUCAGUGGUCCUUAGCCAGUUGUUUUAAUGGAGAAUUUCAUUAUGAGAAAAAAAAGGGAUGAAUCACAGGGCAUGAGUCCAAUUUAAAGGGACACUAGCAGUCUUUCAUUGAUAUCUAAUUUAUUUACUUAUAGCAUAAUUGUACUGGCAGGACCAUUGUUAAAUCUGCUUUUACUAAUUACAAUUAUA
RNAcentral lists this unclassified non-coding RNA (203 nucleotides) under Hevea brasiliensis (rubber tree). The record is from RNAcentral. Lineage: Eukaryota; Viridiplantae; Streptophyta; Magnoliopsida; Malpighiales; Euphorbiaceae.